GUCAAAGCGUUCAUUAAAGUCGAGUUGGCUUAGGGAUACGUUCGUUGGGUAGGGGAGCGUUCUGUAAGCCUGUGAAGGUGUGUCGUGAGGCAUGCUGGAGGUAUCAGAAGUGCGAAUGCUGACAUAAGUAACGAUAAAGCGGGUGAAAAGCCCGCUCGCCGGAAGACCAAGGGUUCCUGUCCAACGUUAAUCGGGGCAGGGUGAGUCGACCCCUAAGGCGAGGCCGAAAGGCGUAGUCGAUGGGAAACGGGUUAAUAUUCCCGUACUUGGUGUUACUGCGAAGGGGGGACGGAGAAGGCUAUGUUGGCCGGGCGACGGUUGUCCCGGUUUAAGCGUGUAGGUGUGUGUUCCAGGUAAAUCCGGUUCACUUUAACACUGAGGCGU
Molecule: ribosomal RNA, 384 nt
Filed under: Salmonella enterica
Lineage: Bacteria; Pseudomonadati; Pseudomonadota; Gammaproteobacteria; Enterobacterales; Enterobacteriaceae
Also listed under: 1 other name
Description: partial 23S ribosomal RNA
Rfam family: Bacterial large subunit ribosomal RNA
Source: RNAcentral